Molecule: ribosomal RNA, 492 nt
Filed under: uncultured bacterium
Lineage: Bacteria
Description: partial 16S ribosomal RNA
Rfam family: Bacterial small subunit ribosomal RNA
Source: RNAcentral
AGUGAACGCUGGCGGUAGGCCUAACACAUGCAAGUCGAACGGCAGCACAGUAAGAGCUUGCUCUUACGGGUGGCGAGUGGCGGACGGGUGAGGAAUACAUCGGAAUCUACUUUUUCGUGGGGGAUAACGUAGGGAAACUUACGCUAAUACCGCAUACGACCUACGGGUGAAAGCAGUGGAUCUUCGGACCUUGCGCGAUUGAAUGAGCCAAUGUCGGAUUAGCUAGUUGGCGGGGUAAAGGCCCACCAAGGCGACGAUCCGUAGCUGGUCUGAGAGGAUGAUAAGCCACACUGGAACUGAGACACGGUCCAGACUCCUACGGGAGGCAGCAGUGGGGAAUAUUGGACAAUGGGCGCAAGCCUGAUCCAGCCAUACCGCGUGGGUGAAGAAGGCCUUCGGGUUGUAAAGCCCUUUUGUUGGGAAAGAAAAGCAGCAGGUUAAUACCCCGCUGUUCUGACGGUACCCAAAGAAUAAGCACCGGCUAACUUCGUG